This 74-nucleotide transfer RNA is filed under the name Araneus ventricosus. RNAcentral's name for it is "tRNA-Thr". The record is from RNAcentral. Lineage: Eukaryota; Metazoa; Arthropoda; Arachnida; Araneae; Araneidae.
AGGCACCGGCGAGAUUCGAACUCGCGAUCUCCUGUUUACUAGACAGGCGCUUUAUCUAUCUAAGCCACGGCGCC